GAAAUAUUUCUAAGUAGUUUUUUUAGUCUUGACAUGCUACAUAUUUUUCUGAUAGGUGUUAUGUUCUUUCUGUUGCUUCCUACCACUGUGGAGUCCCCAGUUUUCCCUAUGGUUUCCUGCUGAUGAGCAGCAGUUACAUAGUCAUAAAAUCUAGUUACGACUUCUUUGCUAGAACUAAACAAAAAAGAUCAUCUUUUGAGCACCCAGCAGGAAAAAGAUACAGGUCCCAAAUCAACUGGAUGUGAACAGCUCCUGCACUGAGAUGACCGAUGCCCUAAAGAUGUAAAUGUAGAGCCAUCAGUGAGGAGCCUGGGGCUCCCCUCUCAAGGUGCCCCGUGACUGCUUUGACAUUAAGGACUUUGAUUCACAGACUGUGCAGUUCUGAGGAGGACAAAGACAUCCACAUAACUGUUGUUUUGAUAGGUGUCUGGGGUGAUACUUCAAAAUCCUAGUGUUGGAGACAAGCCUCCCCUCUAACCUAGAUUUGUGCAACAAUUUUGACCUUGAAAGAUUUUGAAAAUGAAAGGAAUACUCUAUUUUCCCCUUUUUUUAACUUAUCAAAAGACUUCGUUAAAUUAAAACAAGUGGAUUAAAACACAAGAUCAAUGUGACCUUUCUUUCUGGUAAAAUAUGGCAUUCCUCUAGCUCUAUGCCUAUUCAGAAUUUGCUGUCCUUUUUCCUGUCCAUUAUAUUCACGAAUAUAUGUCUAUUAUAUUCAUGAAUUCAUAACAAAUUCCCAAAGCAUUUAUGGAUGCCUUACAUUCCAGGCUCUUAAGAAACUUAGUCUUUAAGAGACCUCAGAAAGCAGGCUUUCUAGUGCCAGGGAUUAAGUCACUGCUUGGGACACCUGCAUCCCAUGUCUGAAUGCCUGUUUGAGUCACAGUUACUCUAUGUUUUAGGUCCAGCUUCCUGCUAAUGUUCCUGGAGGGAAGCAUAUGAUGGUCCAAGUAUUUGGAUCUCUGCCACCCACAUGGAAGACCUGGAUGGAAUUCCUGGCUCCUGACUUCAG
This 1009-nucleotide long non-coding RNA is filed under the name Oryctolagus cuniculus (rabbit). RNAcentral's name for it is "lncRNA (ENSOCUG00000030328.1)". The record is from RNAcentral. Lineage: Eukaryota; Metazoa; Chordata; Mammalia; Lagomorpha; Leporidae.